Molecule: ribosomal RNA, 873 nt
Filed under: Elizabethkingia anophelis
Lineage: Bacteria; Pseudomonadati; Bacteroidota; Flavobacteriia; Flavobacteriales; Weeksellaceae
Description: bacterial SSU rRNA
Rfam family: Bacterial small subunit ribosomal RNA
Source: RNAcentral
CGGGAAAUCAUUUCGGGGGUAUUGAGAGCGGCGUACGGGUGCGGAACACGUGUGCAACCUGCCUUUAUCAGGGGGAUAGCCUUUCGAAAGGAAGAUUAAUACCCCAUAAUAUAUUAUUCGGCAUCGGGUGAUAUUGAAAACUACGGUGGAUAGAGAUGGGCACGCGCAAGAUUAGCUAGUUGGUGAGGUAACGGCUCACCAAGGCGACGAUCUUUAGGGGGCCUGAGAGGGUGAUCCCCCACACUGGUACUGAGACACGGACCAGACUCCUACGGGAGGCAGCAGUGAGGAAUAUUGGACAAUGGGUGGAAGCCUGAUCCAGCCAUCCCGCGUGCAGGAAGACGGCCCUAUGGGUUGUAAACUGCUUUUAUCUGGGGAUAAACCUACUUACGUGUAAGUAGCUGAAGGUACCAGAAGAAUAAGCACCGGCUAACUCCGUGCCAGCAGCCGCGGUAAUACGGAGGGUGCAAGCGUUAUCCGGAUUUAUUGGGUUUAAAGGGUCCGUAGGCGGACUGAUAAGUCAGUGGUGAAAUCCGACAGCUUAACUGUCGAACUGCCAUUGAUACUGUUAGUCUUGAGUAAGGUUGAAGUGGCUGGAAUAAGUAGUGUAGCGGUGAAAUGCAUAGAUAUUACUUAGAACACCAAUUGCGAAGGCAGGGUCACUAAGUCUUAACUGACGCUGAUGGACGAAAGCGUGGGGGAGCGAACAGAUUAGAUACCCUGGUAGUCCACGCCGGUAAACGAUGAUUACUCGUUUUUGGGGUUUUUAUGAUUCAGAGACUAGCGAAGUGAUAGGUAUCCACUCGAGUACGUCGCAGAAUGAACUCAAGGAAGUGAACGGGGUCCGGCCAAGCCGUUGAGCAUGUUGUUUCA